AAUCAGUCUCCACACCCUGCUGUGACUAUAAGAGUCUGGAGACGUCCGAUAUCGUUCUCUUCUUGGGAAUGUAGACGACCUGACAAACACAGGUUUCCCAGAGGCUCCAGAGCACUUUCCUCUGCCUCCUUGGAUUCCUUCCUUUUUCCAGACAGGCAGACGGUGAGUGUCUGAGAGAUUUCUGCGUUCGUACUGGCGGGAACACAAUAUGAGCUCAGAGAACGGGAAUAUACAAGGACCUGACUACACCACCGAAACCACACGGGAGGGAACAAUGCCCAACCUUGAGCGAGAUGUGCAGGGUGCAGAGGCAGGGAGGUCUCACUGUCUGCUCGAGGCAUUGAGCGUGAGAGAGAGAAGUCACAGUAUGGGGAGAUUAAUCGGCAUGAAGGCGAUGAAGCAAAAUAAACUUGCGGAAGACUGUGUCAUGUCACGAUCUGUUCACGCUCACGGUCCCACGGUGGUGGAAUGACCUCCAUGUCAGAACGGCAGAGUCUCUGACCUCCUUCAAGCGCAACUGAAGACCCAUCUCUUAAGGCUACACCUUUCCCUCCCCAAUUACCAUGAUUAGCCUUAGACUGUAAUGGCACUUAUGUAUAUAUAUCCUUACUUGUAUAGGUAUUGUUGUUUUUAUUGGCCGUUGUAUUGUUGUAUUCUAGCUGCCAACUGUGGUAUGCUAGUUUGAAAGUUGAUUGUACUCUUCAAGGGUUCUGAAUUUCUGUAUGUUUACGCUAGGACUCGGAACUGUACUGUCCUCUCGGGUCCUCUUGGCACUUGUUCUUGUGUUUGAUUUGCACUUUGUUGUACGUCGCUCUGCAUAAGUACGUCUGCUAAAUGCCAUGUAAUGUAAUGUAAUGUAAUGUUACACUCUGUAAAGUGUCUCAUAAAAAAUGCAAAAUGAAAGGAAUACCUUUUUUUGUAUCUAUAGUGGCAUCUGUGGUGUUAUGGGUCAAAACUGACUUUUGUUAGGAAAAAAGGUCAAACCUUUAUUUUGUUCAAAAUAACACAUUCAAAUAGAAAAUAAACAAAAGGGUUGCUCAAAUCA
Molecule: long non-coding RNA, 1045 nt
Organism: Conger conger (European conger)
Lineage: Eukaryota; Metazoa; Chordata; Actinopteri; Anguilliformes; Congridae
Exons: 2
Source: RefSeq, a predicted model, not a curated record